RNAcentral lists this ribosomal RNA (552 nucleotides) under uncultured Actinomycetes bacterium. RNAcentral describes it as "uncultured actinobacterium partial 16S ribosomal RNA". It matches the Rfam family "Bacterial small subunit ribosomal RNA", at positions 1 to 587 of the family's 1533-position model. Lineage: Bacteria; Bacillati; Actinomycetota; Actinomycetes. The record is from RNAcentral.
GGCCGCGGGAAUUCGAUUAGAGUUUGAUCAUGGCUCAGGACGAACGCGGCGGCGUGCUUAACACAUGCAGUCGAGCGGAAAGGCCCUCGGGGUACUCGAGCGCGAACGGGUGAGUAACACGUGAGCAACCUGCCCUUGGCUUUGGGAUAACCCUCGGAAACGGGGGCUAAUACCGAAUAUCCAUUUUCUUCCGCAUGGGGGUUGAUGGAAAGUUUUUCGGCCAGGGAUGGGCUCGCGGCCUAUCAGCUUGUUGGUGGGGUAAUGGCCUACCAAGGCAACGACGGGUAGCUGGUCUGAGAGGAUGUCCAGCCACACUGGGACUGAGACACGGCCCAGACUCCUACGGGAGGCAGCAGUUAGGAAUCUUGCGCAAUGGGCGAAAGCCUGACGCAGCGAUGCCGCGUGCGGGAUGAAGGCCUUCGGGUCGUAAACCGCUUUCAGCAGGGACGAUAGUGACGGUACCUGCAGAAGAAGCCCCGCCAACUACGUGCCAGCAGCCGCGGAAUACGAAUCACUAGUGAAUUCGCGGCCGCCUGCAGGUCGACCAUAUGG